Molecule: ribosomal RNA, 484 nt
Filed under: uncultured bacterium
Lineage: Bacteria
Description: partial 16S ribosomal RNA
Rfam family: Bacterial small subunit ribosomal RNA
Source: RNAcentral
AUUGAACGCUGGCGGAAUGCUUUACACAUGCAAGUCGAGCGGCAGCACGGGGGCAACCCUGGUGGCGAGCGGCGAACGGGUGAGUAAUACAUCGGAACAUGCCCAGUCGUGGGGGAUAACACUUCGAAAGAAGUGCUAAUACCGCAUACGUCCUGAGGGGGAAAGCGGGGGAUCGCAAGACCUCGCGCGAUUGGAGUGGCCGAUGUCAGAUUAGCUAGUUGGUGGGGUAAAGGCCUACCAAGGCAACGAUCUGUAGCUGGUCUGAGAGGAUGAUCAGCCUCACUGGGACUGAGACACGGCCCAGACUCCUACGGGAGGCAGCAGUGGGGAAUUUUGGACAAUGGGGGCAACCCUGAUCCAGCCAUUCCGCGUGAGUGAAGAAGGCCUUCGGGUUGUAAAGCUCUUUCGGCAGGAACGAAACGGUGAGCUCUAACAUAGCUUGCUAAUGACGGUACCUGAAGAAGAAGCACCGGCUAACUACGUG